AUGCAAGUCGAACGGUAACAGGAAGCAGCUUGCUGCUUCGCUGACGAGUGGCGGACGGGUGAGUAAUGUCUGGGAAACUGCCUGAUGGAGGGGGAUAACUACUGGAAACGGUAGCUAAUACCGAAUAACGUCGCAAGACCAAAGAGGGGGACCUUAGGGCCUCUUGCCAUCGGAUGUGCCCAGAUGGGAUUAGCUAGUAGGUGGGGUAACGGCUCACCUAGGCGACGAUCCCUAGCUGGUCUGAGAGGAUGACCAGCCACACUGGAACUGAGACACGGUCCAGACUCCUACGGGAGGCAGCAGUGGGGAAUAUUGCACAAUGGGCGCAAGCCUGAUGCAGCCAUGCCGCGUGUAUGAAGAAGGCCUUCGGGUUGUAAAGUACUUUCAGCGGGGAGGAAGGGAGUAAAGUUAAUACCUUUGCUCAUUGACGUUACCCGCAGAAGAAGCACCGGCUAGCUCCGUGCCAGCAGCCGCGGUAAUACGGAGGGUGCAAGCGUUAAUCGGAAUUACUGGGCGUAAAGCGCACGCAGGCGGUUUGUUAAGUCAGAUGUGAAAUCCCCGGGCUCAACCUGGGAACUGCAUCUGAUACUGGCAAGCUUGAGUC
RNAcentral lists this ribosomal RNA (604 nucleotides) under uncultured Gammaproteobacteria bacterium. RNAcentral describes it as "bacterial SSU rRNA". It matches the Rfam family "Bacterial small subunit ribosomal RNA", at positions 55 to 648 of the family's 1533-position model. The record is from RNAcentral. Lineage: Bacteria; Pseudomonadati; Pseudomonadota; Gammaproteobacteria.